CCUACGGGUGGCAGCAGUGGGGAAUAUUGGGCAAUGGGCGCAAGCCUGACCCAGCAACGCCGCGUGAAGGAAGAAGGCUUUCCGGUUGUAAACUUCUUUUCUCAGGGACGAAGAAAGUGACGGUACCUGAGGCAUAAGCCAUGGCUAACUACGUGCCAGCAGCCGCCGUAAUACGUAGGUGGGAAGCGUUAUCCGGAUUUAGUGGGUGUACAGGGCGUGUAGGCGGGAGCGCAAGUCAGAGGUGAAAACUCAGGGCUCAACCCUGGUCCUGGAUUUGAAACUGUGUUUCUUGAGUGCGGGAGAGGCAAUCGGAAUUCCGGGUGUAGCGGUGAAAUGCGUAGAUAUACGGAGGAACACCAGUUGCGAAGGCAGAAUGCUGGACAGUAACUGACGCUGAGGCGCGAAAGCGUGGGGAGCAAACAGGAUUAGAUACCCCAGUAGUC
This 443-nucleotide ribosomal RNA is filed under the name uncultured bacterium. RNAcentral describes it as "partial 16S ribosomal RNA". It matches the Rfam family "Bacterial small subunit ribosomal RNA", at positions 338 to 795 of the family's 1533-position model. The record is from RNAcentral.